UCCCUCUUCUCAGUGCACUCACCGGACCCUCUCCGGGGGACGCUCAGUCCCUGGUCCAGCACCUGGGAGAGAAAGGAGGCGACGAAGCAGGGCGUCAGGCCAGGGCGUCAGGUCAGGGCGCCGGGGCAAGGCUGGAUAAUGGGGGCAAGCAGGGCGCGGGGCGCAGAGCGGCUGGUUAGCGCCUGGCUCUCCGGGGCAGGCGGGCAACUGGCCACGUCCCGGCGCCUCCCGCCCGAACCACGUGGGCUGCGCCCCGCUCCGCCCAGCUCCGGGAGCGCGGACACCUCUGGAUGCCCUGCCAGGCAGAGGGCGGAACGGAACGGACACCUGGGGCGCCCGCGCGGGAAGCGCCAGUGCGGGGGAGAGCCCCGGAUACUCGACCCCCAAGCCAGUUUGGGGAGAAAGACGGCGGCGGGGAGGGGAAAGUUGAGCACACAGCUGCGAUUCCCGUGAGUUGCGGCGACUUUGCAUAGGUGACAUCGCGCCGCGGUCCUGCCUUGGGCACGGUGGGACCCGCUUGCUGAGCGCGCUCUAGAGCGCGCGGCACAUCGUCGAAAUUUCUAACUCUGCAGGGAAAGCGCUAUGUACUUCGGCUUUACAAAUGGGGAAACUGAGGCUCAGAAACGCGCCCUACCAAAGCCACCGACCAGUAAGUGGCAACGCCAAAUAAUAAAUAGGACUUUAAGCCCAGGGCUUUCUGCUGCAGAGAGCGUACCCUCACCCCUUCGAUUCUGCCAGGCAUCAGGACCAGGAGGGUCCCGCAGCCGCGGGCAGCCCUGCUGCGGGGAGGAGACCGAGGCCUUGCCCGCCAAGAAAAAGUCAAGAUCCGCGGGCAAAUGGGGCAGAUGUGGAAGCCAGGACGCGCGGCGCGGUGGUUCCAGGACCGAGGACGCGCUGCGGGGAACGCCUGGGAGCUCCGCGCCGCUGCGCUCUUCUCCUGGACUCUAGGGCCGGCCUUUGGGUGCUCAGCGGGGCCCGCAAGCUCAGAGGGUCCCAAGGCGAGCCGCCGUCUCCAGUCCGCCCGGCCUGCCUGUCCUUCCGAAUUCCAAUGGACAUUAGGGAAUUGCCCUCCUCCCUCAUCCUCCAAGACUGGGCGCUUCAGAAUUUUCUCUCCCUCCCCCUCCCUCUCCCUUGUCACUUAAAAACUCACAUUCUGUUCUCCAGGAACCGCUUUUGCAAUUCAGUUUUCCUAUCUGCAAAAUGAUAGGAAUAAAGCCAUUAGGUGAAUGAAUAGAUACUAGUAUCUCCAUUUAACAGAAGAGGAAUCAAAACCUUAUAGGAUUGUUGUGAUAUCACAUUAGAUUAUUUGUAAACAGCUUUCAAAAGGCUGCAAAAGAACAAAAAAGAAUGUUGUUGCCUGCUGAGCCCAGGGGAACACUGUAGGUGAAUCAGGGUAUUUCAGGCCCCUGGGCUGCUUUGAGACAGGUGCUCUUACCAAACACCAUCAAUUGUUGAGUGUGAACCCUGGAAUAGAGUGAAGCUUACACUGAAGCCAGUAUUUCCACAUCCCAUAUGAUCUGGUGCUUAUGUUUUUCAUUUCCUUACCUCCUUGC
RNAcentral lists this long non-coding RNA (1553 nucleotides) under Homo sapiens (human). Its description in RNAcentral is "non-protein coding lnc-COL6A3-13:1". Lineage: Eukaryota; Metazoa; Chordata; Mammalia; Primates; Hominidae. The record is from RNAcentral.